GUUAUAGGAUCAAGUGACUAAGUGCAUGCGGCGGAUGCCUUGGCGAUCACAGGCGAAGAAAGACGCGGCAGCCUGCGAAAAGCUGCGGGGAGCUGGCAAACGAGCUUUGAUCCGCAGAUAUCUGAAUGGGGGAACCCACACCGCAAGGUGUAUCCGUAACUGAAUACAUAGGUUACGGAGGCGAACGAGGAGAACUGAAACAUCUAAGUAUCCUCAGGAAAAGAAAUCAACCGAGAUUCCGGCAGUAGCGGCGAGCGAACCCGGAGGAGCCCAGCUUUUGAUAGUACGAACUUUAGCCGAAAGGACCUGGAAAGGCCUGCUAUAGUGGGUGAUAGCCCCGUAGGCGAAAGAGUUGGUACGGUACUAAGGAAGCGAGAAGUAGAGCGGGACACGUGGAAUCCUGUUCGAAGACGGGGGGACCAUCCUCCAAGGCUAAAUACUCGUGAUCGACCGAUAGUGAACCAGUACCGUGAGGGAAAGGCGAAAAGAACCCCGGGAGGGGAGUGAAAUAGAACCUGAAACCGCAUGCAUACAAACAGUAGGAGCCUUUACGGAGGUGACUGCGUACCUUUUGCAUAAUGGGUCAGCGACUUACAUUCUGUGGCGAGCUUAACCGAAUAGGGGAGGCGCAGCGAAAGCGAGUUCGAAAUGAGCGUUCAGUCGCAGGGUGUAGACCCGAAACCAGAUGAGCUAUCCAUGGCCAGGUUGAAGGUGUGGUAACACACACUGGAGGACCGAACCGACUAGUGUUGCAAAAUUAGCGGAUGAGCUGUGGAUAGGGGUGAAAGGCCAAACAAAUCUGGAGAUAGCUGGUUCUCCCCGAAAACUAUUGAGGUAGUGCCUCGUGUGUCGCUCCAGGGGGUAGAGCACUGUUUUGGCUAGGGGGACAUGGAGUCUUACCAAACCAAGGCAAACUCCGAAUACCUGGAAGCGUAAGCACGGGAGACAGAGCACCGGGUGCUAACGUCCGGACUCAAAAGGGAAACAACCCAGACCGCCGGCUAAGGUCCCAAAUAACAGCUAAGUGGAAAACGAAGUGGAAAGGCCGUGACAACCAGGAAGUUGGCUUAGAAGCAGCCAUCCUUCAAAGAAAGCGUAAUAGCUCACUGGUCGAGUCCUUCUGCGCGGAAGAUGUAACGGGGCUAAGCUGUUAACCGAAGCCGCGGAUGCGCUGGUUAUCCAGUGCGUGGUAGGGGAGCGUUCUGUAAGUCUGCGAAGGCGGUUCGAGAGGACUGCUGGAGAUAUCAGAAGUGCGAAUGCUGACAUGAGUAACGUUAAAGCAGGUGAAAAGCCUGCUCGCCGUAAGCCCAAGGAUUCCUGCUCUACGUUCAUCGGAGCAGGGUGAGUCGGCUCCUAAGGUCAGGCCGAAAGGCGUAGCCGAUGGGAAUCAGGUUAAUAUUCCUGAACCUGCGUCAGAUGCGAUGGGGGGACGGAGCAUGGAAGAUCAUCCGGGUGUUGGAAGUCCCGGUUGUUUAGCGUAGGAGGUCUGCAGGCAAAUCCGCAGACGCAUCUCCAAGGCAAAGACACGUGCCGCCACGGCGGCGAAGUGAUCGGAAGUGCUUCCAAGAAAAGCCUCUAAGCACCAGUCUGACGCGGACCGUACCGCAAACCGACACUGGUGGGCGAGCUGAAUAUGCUCAGGCGCUUGAGAGAACUCGGGAGAAGGAACUCGGCAAAUUGACACCGUAACUUCGGAAGAAGGUGUGCCGUAGUACCGUGAGAGGAGAGACACCUUGAGCGGGAAACGGUCUCAGAGAAUAGGUGGCUGCGACUGUUUAUUAAAAACACAGCACUCUGCAAAGUCGAAAGACGACGUAUAGGGUGUGAUGCCUGCCCGGUGCUGGAAGAUUAAUUGAUGGGGUGAGAGCCCUUGAUCGAAGUCCCAGUAAACGGCGGCCGUAACUAUAACGGUCCUAAGGUAGCGAAAUUCCUUGUCGGGUAAGUUCCGACCUGCACGAAUGGCAUAACGAUGGCCACACUGUCUCCUCCCGAGACUCAGUGAAGUUGAAAUGUUUGUGAUGAUGCAAUCUACCCGCGGCUAGACGGAAAGACCCCAUGAACCUUUACUGCAGCUUUGCAUUGAACUGUGAACCGAUUUGUGUAGGAUAGGUGGGAGGCAGAGAAGAGGCCACGCCAGUGGUCUUGGAGCCGACCUUGAAAUACCACCCUGAUUUGUUUGCGGUUCUAACCACGGACAGUGAUCCUGUCUUGGGACCGUGCAUGGUAGGCAGUUUGACUGGGGCGGUCUCCUCCUAAAGGGUAACGGAGGAGUACGAAGGUACGCUAGGUACGGUCGGAAAUCGUGCUGAUAGUGCAAUGGCAAAAGCGUGCUUGACUGCGAGAGCAACAACUCGAGCAGAUGCGAAAGCAGGUCAUAGUGAUCCGGUGGCUCUGAAUGGAAGGGCCAUCGCUCAACGGAUAAAAGGUACUCUGGGGAUAACAGGCUGAUACCGCCCAAGAGUUCAUAUCGACGGCGGUGUUUGGCACCUCGAUGUCGGCUCAUCUCAUCCUGGGGCUGUAGUCGGUCCCAAGGGUAUGGCUGUUCGCCAUUUAAAGAGGUACGUGAGCUGGGUUUAAAACGUCGUGAGACAGUUUGGUCCCUAUCUGCCGUGGGCGUUGGAAGAUUGACGGGGGCUGCUCCUAGUACGAGAGGACCGGAGUGGACGCACCUCUGGUGUACCGGUUGUCACGCCAGUGGCAUUGCCGGGUAGCUAAGUGCGGAAGAGAUAACCGCUGAAAGCAUCUAAGCGGGAAACUUGCCUGAAGAUGAGUCUUCCCGGAGGUUGAACCUCCCUCAAGAGUCGUCCGAGACCAGGACGUCGAUAGGUCAGGUGUGUAAGCGCUGUAAGGCGUUAAGCUAACUGAUACUAAUUGCUCGUGAGGCUUGAUCCUAUAACC
This 2898-nucleotide ribosomal RNA is filed under the name Parasutterella excrementihominis. RNAcentral's name for it is "23S ribosomal RNA". It matches the Rfam family "Bacterial large subunit ribosomal RNA". The record is from RNAcentral. Lineage: Bacteria; Pseudomonadati; Pseudomonadota; Betaproteobacteria; Burkholderiales; Sutterellaceae.